This 201-nucleotide long non-coding RNA is filed under the name Helianthus annuus (common sunflower). RNAcentral's name for it is "hypothetical non coding rna". The record is from RNAcentral. Lineage: Eukaryota; Viridiplantae; Streptophyta; Magnoliopsida; Asterales; Asteraceae.
UUGACCCGUUAUCGCCAAGGCCAUGCAACCAAACUAUAGUUGCUUGGUGCUUUGCUUUCGGCCUCACGACAUAUGUCCUCCCAAAUUCAACGGUUCGCCUAGCCGUUCUACUACCUGGGCACUUGAAUAACUCAUCUUAGACAUGUGAAACAAUAAACAACUACAACGGUUACUGCAACGGUUGGGGUGUGUUUGUAAUGU